Non-coding RNA from Drosophila melanogaster (fruit fly), 451 nucleotides. The record is from Ensembl. NCBI's taxonomy places the organism in Eukaryota, Metazoa, Arthropoda, Insecta, Diptera, Drosophilidae.
UUUUCUUGCUUAUUUCCUAUUAGCUGAAAGGCAAGAACAAGAUUGGCACUGCUCGCCGACGGGAAAUCGUUAAACGGUUUUUAAACAACUAGAGAACCAGGUCUGGGACAAGGACAAAGGCCAGCUAAUCCCAAGACGCACGCACAGCAGGAAGCAACCACAAAAAUGUGUAAUUUUAACAGUAACGGAGCAACAGCGACAUCAGUCAUGCAAGGAUAACACCAACAAUAAGGCGUAUCAGAGAUGUGAAGAAGAGGAACAGGACACUAAUGAAAUAAAUGAAACGGCGCUGCUGAAUAUAAUUGAGGAUGGGUCAGGGCGACUUUAAAUGUGGACAAGUGAUGUAGGCAGUGGGUGGUGGCUGCUGACUGAUGGCUGGUGACUACCAAAACAAUUAUUCUUAUCUAGGGUAUUUGGCUGCCAUUGGAGCUGAGCAAGAUCUUCCGAAGCC